Asparagus officinalis (garden asparagus) is the source of this 72-nucleotide non-coding RNA. The record is from the annotation of a RefSeq genome assembly. NCBI's taxonomy places the organism in Eukaryota, Viridiplantae, Streptophyta, Magnoliopsida, Asparagales, Asparagaceae.
UCCUCAGUAGCUCAGUGGUAGAGCGAUCGGCCGUUAAUUGACUGGUCGUAGGUUUGAAUCCUACUUGGGGAG